CACAAUCCACUGCCUUGAUCCACUUGGCUACAUCCGCC
This 38-nucleotide transfer RNA is filed under the name Ligusticum jeholense. Its description in RNAcentral is "partial tRNA-His". Lineage: Eukaryota; Viridiplantae; Streptophyta; Magnoliopsida; Apiales; Apiaceae. The record is from RNAcentral. RNAcentral also lists the same sequence under 3 other names.